RNAcentral lists this ribosomal RNA (423 nucleotides) under Triticum aestivum (bread wheat). Its description in RNAcentral is "partial small subunit ribosomal RNA". Lineage: Eukaryota; Viridiplantae; Streptophyta; Magnoliopsida; Poales; Poaceae. The record is from RNAcentral.
AUGACUCAAUGCACUGACUGCCCACGGACUGCGCCAUUGAAGCGGUUGACUUCGAAGGAGGAGAAGAAUGGGAACUUUGGGCGUGAGUUCGUCAAAUGCGAGAGCAAGCCGGAGGGGCAGAUCGUGAAGAAAUGCCACCAUUUCGAGUGGAUGGAUGAUUACAUCCAGAGGCUUCAAGGGUUGGGCUUGCUGGAUUCGAGGGGGGAUGCAAUCCGCGAGUUCAAUCUGCCCCAUGACGGUGCCGCUCCGGCAGCAGCAGCGCGUCCGAAAUACCCGACGGUGGUAGAUGUCGAACUAAAGACGGAAUUGAAGAAGAUGAACAAGAACUUCAAGCAGCUGAUUGAGUUGAAGAAGCAAUCCAAUCUGAUAGCUUUAGGAAUACUUGCUUUAGGAAUUUUUUACUUGAUGGCCAUCUCUCGUUAG